GUGACUUGCGGAAUCAAACUCUAUAAUCCAGAGAUGGGUUAUAAAGCAGGGUUCCUCCUGGUUCCCCAGCGAUAUCUCGCCAAUGUGCCAGUAUACACCCCAGGGGUGAGCGCGCAGGGACCUCUUUGCUCUGUGAUUUUCCCAUCGUAACUUAAUAUAAACCACCGUAUUCUUUUAUAAGUAAAACCACUUCUGACACAACAGCAUUGUUAUGACUUAUGACCACAUACUUUACAACAACCAGUAAUUAAUAAUACAAAAUAAACACGUAUUAAAACA
This is a non-coding RNA of Coturnix japonica (Japanese quail), 279 nucleotides long. The record is from RefSeq and is a predicted model, not a curated record. Lineage: Eukaryota; Metazoa; Chordata; Aves; Galliformes; Phasianidae.